Molecule: long non-coding RNA, 1331 nt
Filed under: Marmota monax (woodchuck)
Lineage: Eukaryota; Metazoa; Chordata; Mammalia; Rodentia; Sciuridae
Source: RNAcentral
AUAGAGCCCUUCAAUAAGUUGAGUAUAAAGGAACAAAUCGUGGAACCACUGCAUUAAGGAGAAAAGUCGUCUUCACAAAACGACAAUUUGCUAUUUGCUUUUAGAAAUGAUGAUACAGAUAAAGCCAUGGAGACAAAGGAAAUGGACUGGAGAACAAAGAAAAAGAUGGGAGGAGAUGGAGCAAGAAAGGGGUGAUUCUUGAGGUGCCGAAGGCCUACGGCCAGGGACAGAGGAAGGAGCAGGAGGGAGAGAACUGUGCCCUCCCGGGCUCACACCAGGGGACACCUACCAACCCGAUGAUCCUGGAGGACAGGGCACAGGGAGCCACUGCUGCCAACUGAAGAAGCUGGUCAUGGCCCCAGGUGCAAAAGUUAAAAGCCCUCGGCAGAAGGAAGGGGGCGGGCCCUCAGGAAGCCUGCUGCCAGCUGGCCUGCUGAAUUUGCUUUGGAAAAAAAGGGUUUCCAGAGAGAGGGGAGCCAUGGAUCUGCCGCCUUUCCCUCAGUGAGCCGGAUAGACAUUGUUGAGUUGGACUCAAUAAAGCGGGUGGAAGAAAAAGGAAGAGGGCCAAGGAAACAUGAACAGAGACGUGAGACCUUCUCCAGCUAAUCCUCCUCCUAUGCCUAGUGGAUUGUGUCCCCUGGCUGCUGGAGGCCUUCAGAGCACCUGAGAGUAAGCAGGCCAAGGGUUUAGCACACUAUCCGGGCUCAGCACAAGGCAAACUGCUACCCUGUUAUUAUUCUGUGAGUUGAUAAGUGAAGGGCAGAGGCCAAGGUGCUCGGCAGCCCUCUCCUUCCUGGGUGCCCACUGAACCCACUGGGCGGGUGGCACAACCCUGGGAGCCAACCUUGACGGUAGGCAGAAAGGUGCCAGCUGGGGAGGGGUCACUCAGUCCCCAGCUCAAAGUCACCUCCUGCCAAGGAGGGUUCCUGGAAACGAUUUAUGAGGCCAGCAAGCCCUUAUUUUGGGCUAAACCUAUUAAUGUUAUGGAAACAUUGAAAAAUAUAGAAAAAUGUUUUUAUAAAGUGAAAAUCACCCUCAAUCCACAAACUAAAGAUAGCUUUAUGUUGGUGUAUUUCCUUCCAGUAUUUACUGUGUCCUUAUAGAGAUGGUAAAAAUAAUCAAAAAGGUUUUCUGCACAAUUUGAAACAUCAUUAAUAGUUGCAUGAUUGUCAAGAUUGUUCUUUUUCUCCCAUUAAAACAGUGUACUUUAUACAUAAGGCUUUGCUCACAGUGUUGUUAACUUCCUGAUAAACCACCUGGUAAAUUUCCAGAAAUAGAGCCACUGGGUCACACAGUGUGGGUCUGUUGCCUAAAACCCUUCUAAAAUGUGG